This 1023-nucleotide long non-coding RNA is filed under the name Ananas comosus (pineapple). RNAcentral's name for it is "long non-coding RNA (ACOM_LNC041667)". The record is from RNAcentral. Lineage: Eukaryota; Viridiplantae; Streptophyta; Magnoliopsida; Poales; Bromeliaceae.
GUUUUCGAUCUUAAGAUGUUCAAAUCAACGAUCCACACCGUCAAAUAUGAUUUAGAGUAUAUAAAAUUCUUAGGGAUAAAAUUUUAAUUCAUUUCAACAUCGUUUACUUAGUAAAUAAAUCAUGUCAAAAUGAACGGUGAAAAUUGAACAAUCUUUAAAAUUUGAGGAUAGAACUUCUAAAUUCAUGAUCAAGGAUGUUGACCUUAAUCUAAAUAGUUUAAAGUAUUUUCUAUCAAAAUUUGAAUAAAUUUAGAUUCUUUCGCAUCGUAAGAUUUUUAUUUUCAGCCGUUGAUUUUGAGCCACUUCGAUCACUAGGCAAAUGAUAUCGAAAAAUCGCAAAAUUUAUUUUCUAGAUACUUCAAAUACUCUAGAUCAAGUCUAACGGAGCCGAUCGUCGAUUCGAAAGUCCGAACAUCAAAAACAAAGUGGAAGCACGGAGCCCUCUGUGCUUCCAUAAGCAUCCUAACCGCACUCUAUAUAUAUAUAUAUAUAUAGAGAGAGAGAGAGAGAGAGAGAGAGAAUGAGGCUACUAUACUAACUAUAAUAUUGGAGCUCCGAUACUAUAGUCUAGUUUUCGAUCUUAAGAUGUUCAAAUCAACGAUCCACACCGUCAAAUAUGAUUUAGAGUAUAUAAAAUUCUUAGGGAUAAAAUUUUAAUUCAUUUCAACAUCGUUUACUUAGUAAAUAAAUCAUGUCAAAAUGAACGGUGAAAAUUGAACAAUCUUUAAAAUUUGAGGAUAGAACUUCUAAAUUCAUGAUCAAGGAUGUUGACCUUAAUCUAAAUAGUUUAAAGUAUUUUCUAUCAAAAUUUGAAUAAAUUUAGAUUCUUUCGCAUCGUUAAACUACAAAUUCGUCAUAGUAGCUAUUGAAAAUUAAUAAUUUUGAAAUAAUUUGAUCAUAAAGAAAACUAUGUCGAAAAAAUAUAAUUUUAUUACUUACAAUUUUAAAUAUUCUAGAUCAGUUUUAACGAUGUGAAUUGUUGAUUUGAACACCAUAAAAUAAAAAACGAGACCAUAGUACCGA